CUGGGGCACUCCGCCCUCAUCCGUUUGCGGACGUGUUUCUCCAGGGGUUUGUGGAUCCAAAAAUGCAUGAACCUGAAGAGAUGGUCAGACGGGGCCCAUUCCCCAGAGUGAAGGUGCCUUAUGUUCCUAGGGUCGAACAUUCUCUGACCCGUAGCGUCCAGAAAUAUCUCCUGUUCUUGCGUAGCGGAUGUAGCAGACGAAUCCGCAUCCCCUGUACACUGGGGUUCACCCAGGAAGGUCUCCCCAAUCGCCUUCAUCGGAGUCUGAGACCUCUGCCUGCCACCCGUCCAGGAUGGAGUGGGGCAUAUCCUUGUCCUUGUGCGAGGAAAUCUCCUGAGUAUAUGU
Molecule: non-coding RNA, 345 nt
Organism: Pelobates cultripes (western spadefoot toad)
Lineage: Eukaryota; Metazoa; Chordata; Amphibia; Anura; Pelobatidae
Source: the annotation of a GenBank genome assembly